GGACAAAAGCUGAAGCAAAAAUCUAUUUUGCAAAGAACUGCUCUCGAUAACGAGAUCGAAAUCGACAAGGAGAUGGAGAGACUUAAAAACUUUGGUACAAUCACCUUGUCAGAAGACAUAGCUGAAGGAUCCAAAGUGAAGAAAAGAACAAUUAGUAAAGAAACUUUUGUUUGCACCGAGACACAACCAAAGAGGGCGAACAAACGCGUAGGGUAUUUUUCAAAUCCAGUGAAUGAGGAUGAUCUCACGAAAGCUAACGAUGAUAGUCAAACUUACCAACCAUUCAACAGUGACUACCGGAGACGUGACAAUGACAAGGUAAAAAACAUUUGCAUGAUUAAGUAAUGAAUGUAAAUCAGCAUGUAGAUAGACAUAAAAGUUUGCUUGAUGUUUAAUGUUAUAUUUACAAAUUUAAAUUAUUGAUGAAGGGCACAACACUGAGAAGUGCAACGACGAUGCCGAG
RNAcentral lists this long non-coding RNA (463 nucleotides) under Trifolium pratense (red clover). RNAcentral describes it as "long non-coding RNA (TPRA_LNC002504)". The record is from RNAcentral. Lineage: Eukaryota; Viridiplantae; Streptophyta; Magnoliopsida; Fabales; Fabaceae.